UACGUAGGGAGCAAGCGUUGUCCGGAAUCAUUGGGCGUAAAGCGCGCGUAGGUGGCUUCGUAAGUCCGUUGUGAAAGUCAAAGGCUCAACCUUUGAAAGCCGAUGGAUACUGCGGAGCUAGAGUACGGAAGAGGCGAGUGGAAUUCCUGGUGUAGCGGUGAAAUGCGCAGAUAUCAGGAGGAACACCAAUGGCGAAGGCAGCUCGCUGGAACGGUACUGACGCUGAGGCGCGAAAGCGUGGGGAGCGAAUGGG
This 253-nucleotide ribosomal RNA is filed under the name uncultured bacterium. RNAcentral's name for it is "partial 16S ribosomal RNA". It matches the Rfam family "Bacterial small subunit ribosomal RNA", at positions 524 to 776 of the family's 1533-position model. The record is from RNAcentral.